AUUGAACGCUGGCGGCAUGCCUUACACAUGCAAGUCGAACGGCAGCACGGGAGCAAUCCUGGUGGCGAGUGGCGAACGGGUGAGUAAUAUAUCGGAACGUGCCCAGUCGUGGGGAUAACGUAGCGAAAGCUACGCUAAUACCGCAUACGAUCUAUGGAUGAAAGCGGGGGAUCGCAAGACCUCGCGCGAUUGGAGCGGCCGAUAUCAGAUUAGGUAGUUGGUGAGGUAAAGGCUCACCAAGCCGACGAUCUGUAGCUGGUCUGAGAGGACGACCAGCCACACUGGGACUGAGACACGGCCCAGACUCCUACGGGAGGCAGCAGUGGGGAAUUUUGGACAAUGGGCGCAAGCCUGAUCCAGCAAUGCCGCGUGCAGGAUGAAGGCCUUC
Molecule: ribosomal RNA, 388 nt
Filed under: uncultured bacterium
Lineage: Bacteria
Description: bacterial SSU rRNA
Rfam family: Bacterial small subunit ribosomal RNA
Source: RNAcentral